Molecule: long non-coding RNA, 664 nt
Filed under: Lonchura striata (white-rumped munia)
Lineage: Eukaryota; Metazoa; Chordata; Aves; Passeriformes; Estrildidae
Description: domestica (Bengalese finch) lncRNA (ENSLSDG00000002346.1)
Source: RNAcentral
CGCCGAACCGCGGAGAAGCCGCUGGCAGGCACCACUCCGCCGUCGUGCCGCUGGGACUACAACUCCCGGCGUGCCCCGGGGCAGCGGCGCACGGAGCGCGCUGAUUGGCCCGCGGGGGCAGCGCAGUGCGGGCGCCCCCACGUGGCGGCUCGGCGGGGCCGCGACCCCCGGGAUAACCCGGGACAAACCGGGACAAGCCGGGACAAACGGAAACAGCUCGGCUUCCUCUCGCUCCUGUGCCACGGACCUCGCCCGCCCUACCCUGAGGGACCCUGCGCUGAGUCUGGUGGCUGGGAACGGGGCCAGAUCACAGUGAGCAGGAGGAGCUCUGGGACGCCGCAGGGAGAUUCCUGCCUUUCCAGGCAGCCUCUGGCAGGCAGGUGAGGUGGAAGUGUCACUUGGAAAGGUGCUGGGAGCUUCUUCAGUGACCAACUUCAAACAGUGCCCUGCUUGUUGACUGUAAUCUUAGUGCUGGAACACGAUGGGAAUGUUAACAAAGUUCCUGGAAUCUCCAUGGAGAGAGCUGUAAAGGACAGCAUCCCUGACAGAGCAACUGAAUUAAAAUUUCAGCUGAUCAACCUUUCAGUUAUUCCCUGAUUUAUGGUAUAACACAAGUUUUUGCAGGUGAAAUAAAGAUGUUUUUUAAAUGAAUAAUGACGUUCUG